CUGCCUAUCACUUUCGAUGGUAGGAUAGUGGCUACCAUGGUGGCAACGGGUAACGGGGAAUUAGGGUUCGAUUCCGGAGAGGGAGCCUGAGAAACGGCUACCACAUCCAAGGAAGGCAGCAGGCGCGCAAAUUACCCAAUCCCGAUACGGGGAGGUAGUGACAAUAAAUACUGAUACGGGGCUCUUUUGGGUCUCGUAAUUGGAAUGAGAACAAUUUAAAUCCCUUAACGAGGAACAAUUGGAGGGCAAGUCUGGUGCCAGCAGCCGCGGUAAUUCCAGCUCCAAUAGCGUAUAUUAAAGUUGUUGCAGUUAAAAAGCUCGUAGUUGAACCUUGGGUCUGGCUGGUCGGUCCGCCUCACCGCGAGUACUGAUCCGGCUGGACCUUUCCUUCUGGGGAACCUCAUGGCCUUCACUGGCUGUGGGGGGAACCAGGACUUUUACUGUGAAAAAAUUAAAAGUGUUCAAAGCAGGCCUUUGCUCGAAUACAUUAGCAUGGAAUAAUAGAAUAGGACGUGUGGUUCUAUUUUGUUGGUUCUAGGACCGCCGUAAUGAUUAAUAGGGAUAGUCGGGGGCGUCAGUAUUCAGCUGUCAGAAGUGAAAUUCUUGGAUUUCUGAAGACUAACUACUUGCGAAAGCAUUCCCAAGGAUGUUUCAUUAAUCAGGGAACGAAAGUUAGGGGAUCGAAGACGAUCAGAUACCGCCGAAGCUUAACCAUAAACUAUCCCACUAGGAUCGGACAGGAUCUAUAAUGACCUGUUCGGCACCUUACAAAAAAUCAAAGUUUUUGGGUUCUGGGGGGAAUAUGGCC
This 808-nucleotide ribosomal RNA is filed under the name fungal sp. EEM09. RNAcentral's name for it is "SSU rRNA". It matches the Rfam family "Eukaryotic small subunit ribosomal RNA", at positions 308 to 1130 of the family's 1831-position model. Lineage: Eukaryota; Fungi. The record is from RNAcentral.